This 135-nucleotide transfer RNA is filed under the name Puccinia triticina. Its description in RNAcentral is "tRNA-Ile". It matches the Rfam family "tRNA". Rfam says of the family: Transfer RNA (tRNA) molecules are approximately 80 nucleotides in length. Their secondary structure includes four short double-helical elements and three loops (D, anti-codon, and T loops). Further hydrogen bonds mediate the characteristic L-shaped molecular structure. tRNAs have two regions of fundamental functional importance: the anti-codon, which is responsible for specific mRNA codon recognition, and the 3' end, to which the tRNAs corresponding amino acid is attached (by aminoacyl-tRNA synthetases). tRNAs cope with the degeneracy of the genetic code in two manners: having more than one tRNA (with a specific anti-codon) for a particular amino acid; and 'wobble' base-pairing, i.e. permitting non-standard base-pairing at the 3rd anti-codon position. The record is from RNAcentral. Lineage: Eukaryota; Fungi; Basidiomycota; Pucciniomycetes; Pucciniales; Pucciniaceae. RNAcentral also lists the same sequence under 1 other name.
UCUCCCAUAGCUUAGUUGGUAGAGCGCAAUGCUUAUAUGACGACAUUCUUCCUUCGGGGGAAGUCGAUAUACUGUGGUAGCACACCCCUCUCAGAGGUUACGUUGAUGUCAGGGGUUCGAGCCCCCUUGGGAGAA